CCUCGUUCCCCCCUCCGUCCCCCCUCCAUCUCCCCCUCCCUCUCCUUCCACUUUUAGACAACACUCGCAUGCGACAGGAGGAGAUGGUCAGUGCCUUGUUUAGUGUUCUUCAUGGAACACGUGCUCCCCCCAGCCCACCUCCGGACCCCCUGCUGUCAAACUGAGGGGUAUCCUGGACCUUAGUCUCUUCACUGUAACAGACCAUACCCCCAUGGGGAUAGAUGUGGACAUCUUCAGCAAGCUGGGACUCAGGCAGUGCCUGGUCACACAUAAACGAGGACCUUAGCCCUAAGACCAUGCCUCAGGACUACCUGGCAUGAUGUCUC
Salvelinus namaycush (lake trout) is the source of this 326-nucleotide long non-coding RNA. RefSeq lists it as uncharacterized. The record is from RefSeq and is a predicted model, not a curated record. NCBI's taxonomy places the organism in Eukaryota, Metazoa, Chordata, Actinopteri, Salmoniformes, Salmonidae. The transcript is spliced from 3 exons.